GGGCGUGUGGUGUAGGGGUAUCACGUCUGCUUCGCAUGCAGAAGGCCCCGGGUUUAAUUCCCGGCACGUCCA
Molecule: transfer RNA, 72 nt
Filed under: Perkinsus olseni
Lineage: Eukaryota; Perkinsozoa; Perkinsida; Perkinsidae
Description: tRNA-Ala
Rfam family: tRNA
About the family: Transfer RNA (tRNA) molecules are approximately 80 nucleotides in length. Their secondary structure includes four short double-helical elements and three loops (D, anti-codon, and T loops).
Source: RNAcentral